CUGCAACAUUGACGGAACUUGAUAUUUAAGACAAACAGGCAACACAGAUGCAUCGCAAAUCAAAUGGAAUCGGUCCCUGUGCAUAGAAAUGUUUGCUCGGAAAGAUACACCUUCCUACGUCAAUCCCACUUGAUUGCGCCACUUGGAUUCCUCGGAACUUCCACCGAAUGAAUGAACUGGUGCUUCAAGUGCAGCGGAAUUAUCUGCCGCGGAAGCUGCUCUACGACCUUCCAUCUGGUCUCACAAGAGGACAUCUUCUUUGGCCCAAUGUGUAUAAUUAUU
This is a long non-coding RNA of Culex quinquefasciatus (southern house mosquito), 282 nucleotides long. RefSeq lists it as uncharacterized. The record is from RefSeq and is a predicted model, not a curated record. NCBI's taxonomy places the organism in Eukaryota, Metazoa, Arthropoda, Insecta, Diptera, Culicidae. The transcript is spliced from 3 exons.